CCUUUGUUGUCCGACUCUGUUGCCUCCGGGGCGACCCUGCCUUCGGGCGGGGGCUCCGGGUGGACACUUCAAACUCUUGCGUAACUUUGCAGUCUGAGUAAACUUAAUUAAUAAAUUAAAACUUUUAACAACGGAUCUCUUGGUUCUGGCAUCGAUGAAGAACGCAGCGAAAUGCGAUAAGUAAUGUGAAUUGCAGAAUUCAGUGAAUCAUCGAAUCUUUGAACGCACAUUGCGCCCCCUGGUAUUCCGGGGGGCAUGCCUGUUCGAGCGUCAUUUCACCACUCAAGCCUCGCUUGGUAUUGGGCAUCGCGGUCCGCCGCGUGCCUCAAAUCGACCGGCUGGGUCUUCUGUCCCCUAAGCGUUGUGGAAACUAUUCGCUAAAGGGUGUUCGGGAGGCUACGCCGUAAAACAACCCCAUUUCUAAGGUUGACCUCGGAUCAGGUAGGGAUACCCGCUGAACUUAAGCAUAU
Molecule: ribosomal RNA, 470 nt
Filed under: Cladosporium cladosporioides
Lineage: Eukaryota; Fungi; Ascomycota; Dothideomycetes; Cladosporiales; Cladosporiaceae
Description: eukaryotic LSU rRNA
Rfam family: 5.8S ribosomal RNA (bases 120-273)
Source: RNAcentral